AUUGAACGCUGGCGGCAGGCCUAACACAUGCAAGUCGAACGGUAACAGGAAGCAGCUUGCUGCUUCGCUGACGAGUGGCGGACGGGUGAGUAAUGUCUGGGAAACUGCCUGAUGGAGGGGGAUAACUACUGGAAACGGUAGCUAAUACCGCAUAACGUCGCAAGACCAAAGAGGGGGACCUUAGGGCCUCUUGCCAUCGGAUGUGCCCAGAUGGGAUUCGCUAGUAGGUGGGGUAACGGCUCACCUAGGCGACGAUCCAUAGCUGGUCUGAGAGGAUGACCAGCCACACUGGAACUGAGACACGGUCCAGACUCCUACGGGAGGCAGCAGUGGGGAAUAUUGCACAAUGGGCGCAAGCCUGAUGCAGCAAUGCCGCGUGUAUGAAGAAGGCCUUCGGGUUGUAAAGUACUUUCAGCGGGGAGGAAGGGAGUAAAAUUAAUACCUUUGCUCAUUGACGUUACCCGCAGAAGAAGCACCGGCUAACUCCGUG
Molecule: ribosomal RNA, 490 nt
Filed under: uncultured bacterium
Lineage: Bacteria
Description: partial 16S ribosomal RNA
Rfam family: Bacterial small subunit ribosomal RNA
Source: RNAcentral